GUUAUAGGUAGAACGAAAAACGUCUUAAUCAUUUUCCCAAAAAGUGAUAGGAUAGUUGGCAAAAUGGAUGGAAUCGUGUAAUAGUGAUAAUUAGACUGCGGAUGCUCAUGGAAAUUCGUAUUUUCACAGAUUACAAAGAAAGAAUUCAAAUUUAUAUUAAUGUACAUCUUAUAUUUUAAAUGGUAUAACAUGUAUAUUAUUGUUGAUAUUUUAUAUUGUUUAGCAUUUGUGCACAUUCUUAUAGAUUUACUCGUAUUACAAUUUCUCAUAUAUGCAUAAACAUUGGCAGUCUAUUGAAGACUGUGAAUAAAUUUGCAUAAACAUCCACAGUCUAGUUGACAGUCCUUAGUCCUGUCUGACUUCAAUAAAAUCCACACUCUGUAUCCUCUUUUUCUUUCUGGAGGAACGACUCUUUAGUUGCAUCGGAGUAUAUCGAGAUAUUUUCCAUUCAUUUGAGAAGGAUAAGUGAUUGUGGCGAAAUUGCAGCGCAGGGGGUUGUAUUAUACGAUUGGAAAAGGCGGACGGUUCUGCACGCAUCGGGUAGGGGAAUUUUCCGAACGUACACGGAGACGGAUUCGGUUUCGGGUGUGUUUUAAAGUCCAUGGGGCUCAAUGUUCCGCGAAAUACGUCGCUCCCUCUUACCAUCGGUCCUAUAAUACAGAUGCCGUAUAGAUGGCUACAAAUCCCCCGGAACUCUUCAUAUCUAUAACCUCUUUUCAUUCUCGACAACGAGGGCUCACACGCGACAGGGUAGUUUUAAACAAUUCACCCUUCAAACCCUCCCACGUGGUUAACUUUAUUGCUAUUUCCGGACCCGCGCCCGCGAGACACUUCGAUUUCACUUAUAUCGGUGAAAUUUUUACGGGGAGAAUGCCACGUAUCAAGUAAUUUCAUGAGGGAUUUUUUUAAAAGUGUUUUCUAAAAGUGUUUUCUAAAAGUGGCUUCAGUAUUUUGGAAUUAAGGGGCUGUUCUAGUCUAGUGCGUCAAUUUUUAGUUCUGUUUUCGAGGAUUUUCUUUUGUUUAUCAGGAAUUUUUAUAAAGGGUUUUUCGGAGGUAAAAAUAAUCAAAAUUAAACGUAGUACGAGCGAUCUUGUACAGUACCUUCUUAAAAUAGUAUAUUCGUGGUUGCCACGAUUUCAGGCGUUCUGCUUAUCCGAAAUGAAAAAAUCAAGAAACAUCUUCAUUAAUAUUAGCGUCUCUAUUAUCCGAACCAGAAUAAUUAUGAAAUAUCAGGAGUUAAAAAAAUGGCAGCACUUUUAAGUUUGAACAUCGACCUUUUGUAUUCAUUUUGUUCUUUGUAUAUUAAAAAAGAGAUAUUUAGAACAAUCAGAUUUUGGAAAUCGUGGUUCAGGUGAUAAAGGCACGCGUGCUGAAGAUUCACUACGAAUUUGAUGUUAUUCGGUCAACUAGAACUCGUGAUAUCGUGGCAAUCAUUUCAAAAAGUAUUAUUGUAUAGCAUUAAAAUUAGUGGCAUUGGCACUAAAACUCUAAAAACCUGAAACUCGUUGAUAAAGCUAAUGAAUCUGAAAGAUGCGUACAAACUCUUUUGAAUAUUUUUGUACGUCACAAUUAAGAUAGGAAGUCUUAUCUGUCUCUACGAGUGUUCAGCGCACGAGGAUGCGUAAAAGAAGGGAAGGACAUAGAGAGGGUGGUAUAUAGGGCGCACAUAGGGGUUUGCACGCUGGAAGGACUUUAUGGGGGCCCGAGUAUAUUUCCUGAUUGAGCGGACUAAUCCACGCAAAGGAGGUUUUAUCGUCGAGGUAUACGUACGUAAUCGAAGGGUUCUGCGUGGAUGUCGCACGCAGAAGAAGCUGAACAGAGUUAGUUUCGUCGAAACCUCGUUUAGUAACGAGUGUCUAGUUUAGUGGUUUUUAAACUUACUAUACUUGCUAUGCAGUUUAACAUUAAAACUGCCUAGGUUGAAAUAUAUCUGUUAUUCAUUCAACUAUAUCUUCGUAAUUAGAGGGAGGAGGAGCAAACUAAUUUAUCGAUAAUUAUAUAAUAAUUCUCUGUUAUAAUAAUCGUCCUAAAAAAUUCUGGUAGAAGAUUGAAUGACUUUAAGUUGAAGUACAUGAGUCAAAUUGGUCGAAUUGGUAGUUAACUCUUUUCUAGUUGUAAUAGUAUUUUUCUUUUUUUAGAAUUGUUUCCAUUUAUAUCGAUCGUCACGUUUUGAAUGGACACUAAAUAGUGUACUUUUUUUGAAAGAGUUUUUUUGAUAUAUGGGAUACUUACCUGUCCUAAUACAUCAAUGGACGCUAAUUCAUCGUGUAAUAAAAUAUGACAUCAUACAAUACAAUAGAAAUUUUUCUAGCAUACGUUGAAAGUGUUACAAACUAAAUUAACUAUUUGACGAAUCGGAAUAUUCUUAUAGAAACUUCGUCCACUUAAUCCCCAUUUUUUCAAGCCCCCUGUCAAGAUAUCUUAAAUUCAAGGGAUCAAUCGCCCGAUUGACGAACUUUCCCUGAUCGUAGAGGUUUCGUUACCAUCGAAAUGGACAAUUACGUGAAAAAGCUGGAGUCCUGUCGGAGCGUUUAUGCAAGGGACCCUUCCCGAGCCUUCCUCCACCCCCUUCGCCUGUAAAUACGGGGACGCACCGCUGUACUAUCGCGGGAACAAUAAAAAUAGACCUCCCGUAUAGGUUCGCCUGCUUACUAUCAGGCCGCAAGUUACGAUUAAGAGACCGCCCAGGCCAUGUCUCGAAUUCUCGGUUUCUGGGAAGACCUCGACGGGAUUCGAGGGGGCCAGGACUAGGACUUUCGAAGGACUAACCGUCAGGAUACGCCCGGGCCACGAUAGUUCGUUGUGGUGGCUUCUCGAAACUUUCCUUCGCGGGUUUAUGCUUAUCGUAAACAUCGUCGCAGACAAAUCGCCUGGUGCAAACCGUACCAAGAAGAGAAUCUCUGCUCGCUGGUUGGCGCAGGGAACGGCGAAACGAUCCCACGUAAUCGUAAAUACAGGAACGGAAUAUAACUUGAGGAGAAUGAACGAGCCCCCGUGAUCAGGCGACUGUUUUUUGGGAAGGGGGGCGCUUGGCGAGGAGAGGCGAAAAGUUUCAGGAACGAGGAUACUGCGAGGAGUUGAAGAGAUGAACGUUAAGAUUUAACUUACAGAAGGAGAAACAUGUCUGGGUCGCCAUGAAUUUCAGGAACGAGGACACUGCGAGGAGCUGAGGUGAAAGUUAACGUUUAACUUACAGGAAGAGAAACGUGUCUGGAUCGCCCCGAAAUGGGUUUUCAGGAACGAGGAUACUGCGAGGAGUUGAAGAGAUGAACGUUAAGAUUUAACUUACAGAAAGAGAAACAUGUCUGGAUCGCCAUGAAGUAGCUAUAGGUUUUUCUUUUUAAACCAUGCAGUAUCUUAAGCAAGCAAUGCUUAACACUUUAUCUACCGGACUAUUUAGAAAUACUCUUUAAUUUAAAAAAGAAUUUUCUACGGUAGCAUAUUCCGAUCUAGGCUGACAAUAAUUCCUUCGUGCUGUUACUGGGUACAUUGAAAACCAAGUCUGUUUUCAAACCCUGAACAUUGUAAGUAGGCAACCAUCGACACAAUACAUAAAUUCGAUUAGCUAAAUACUGCAAUUGAAAAGCCUAUAAAUAGGCUUCCGGUAAAUAAAGUGUUAAGGAAUGUGUAUGUUUAUGUAUUAUGUAGUCUUUCAACCUAUCCAAAGUGGACCUUUUAACAAAUCUCUACAAUGUCCAGUGUCCAUGAUGAUUUUAACGCCACUUUAAUCCCCGAUCAGAGGUGCUCCUGGCCAGGAUUACACCGCCCCUCCUGCCAAUAAAAGCAGCGAAAGGGUUACGGUGGAAGCGGGCGGUCAGCCUGGAGCACUGGUUAAUGUGUGGACACUUCGUGUUCGCGGCUGUAUCAGGGCAAAGAAUGAAUAUUCAACAGUAAACACCGGUAACGCUUGCAAAGGGUUCGCGUGAGGGUGGACGCGGAGAUAGAGAAGGGAAAGCAAGGUGGUUCUCCGGUUUUGACCAGCGCGGAGGGAGGCGAGGGUGGAUUUCUCGUGACUUGUGCAGAUAUAAACGUGGCUCCGGCUGAGAGGGACAUUGUUUACGAUAUUACAUCUGUAAUACCGGUCAAGUGACCAACGUCCACCAACGCUCCGUAAUCUCCUCUGCGCCAGGACUUUGUUCCUGACCAGAUACAGCACGUUGAGCGACUCCGUGAUCAUAAUAGCGGCGGUCUCGUAGGCGUGUCGAGGGCUGCAACGCGUUUUAACACGUUUUAACACGUUUCUCAAGUGUUCGCUGCAGUAUGCACGGCGCUUCUCGUUCCCGCGCCACCAGGUGUUGCAUCGCGAUUUCGGAAUUACCGGAACCGUUUUGUCGCACCUCGCGGUUUCUCGAGGGAACGUGGUGUUUUGGAUCGUGGCUGUUUUAUGUUCGAAGAUACGAGAGAUAGUUGUAGGUAGAAGUAAUGUAUUCAAAUUCGCGUAGACUCGUUCAACACCGUUGGCUGUCGCGACAAAACUCGUGAAAGUUUCUAGAAAGUUAAAAUUUUGUCUUGAGACUAUUGACGAUUGGAUAAUUUCAUAUUUGUAUGUGGUAUUUAAUUUGUUAACUUCGAAUUAGAUUUAGGAAUCCUAUACAGAUUUAUUUUUAUUGUUAUUGUCUCAGCUUUGGAGUUAAUGUGUUUAGUUGCUUGAUGGAAGGUUCUAUCGUUCAGAAAUGGGCGACGUAGCGACUUAAUAAUUCAGCAAAGCGUGAAAAAAAAAUUGAAGUUACAUACUUUAUCAGUCAUUAAUCACAGUUCAGCUCGUUUUGAAGUAAAUGAAAUAAUUGAUACGCCAAUGAGUAUUGUUGACUUGUUUUAAUAAUUUAUGUAAGUCAUAAAAUCGUUUGUUUCAGUGGUCGACAGAUCUAGUAUACCCUAAAGGAACAAUCAAAGUUAUACAAUUCUAUAAAAUGCAUACUCUUAAUUUAAAACUCAUUCUUUCC
Molecule: long non-coding RNA, 4943 nt
Organism: Hylaeus anthracinus
Lineage: Eukaryota; Metazoa; Arthropoda; Insecta; Hymenoptera; Colletidae
Exons: 4
Source: RefSeq, a predicted model, not a curated record